Molecule: long non-coding RNA, 344 nt
Filed under: Panax ginseng (ginseng)
Lineage: Eukaryota; Viridiplantae; Streptophyta; Magnoliopsida; Apiales; Araliaceae
Description: long non-coding RNA (PGIN_LNC010235)
Source: RNAcentral
UCACGAUUAAAAGGAAAGAUGAAUGAAAAGGGUUUGCAUUUUUCUCUAAAUUCCAACGCUCUGACAAAGACAUUCUUCCUUCAGCACUUUUGAAUUAGGAGGAACUGAUCAGUCUAUUUCUUAUCUGAAGAAGAAGUAUAUCACUCCAAAAAAUAAUAACACCAAAACAACUAAACUAGACGACCAGGCAAGGUAACUGGAGAGAUGCAUUUAAUAUUAAUAGUUUAAAAAUAUAUUUAAGAUUUUUUGUUUUUAACAAUAAAGGGCUUCCCAUGUGGCCUGCCGCCGAAGCUUAACAUCUCUGCCACAGAAACCCCUAAGAUGCAAGCAGACCUAUAUGUAAU